GAAACACCAUUUUACCCCAAAAUUCCUCAUCAACCCUCAUUUUAUCCCAAAUUCACCAACCUUCAUUCUCCGCGGCCGGCGUCACGGUUGCGCCGCCGUCACUCCGCUUGCUCGCGCCGCCGCCGUGCUCUAUUGCUGUCAUGCCGCUGUCGCUCCCCACUGUCGCUCCUCUUGCUCACGCCGCCUGUCGCUCCGCUGCUGCCGCGCCGUCGUUGCUCCUUCUCUCUGUUGCCGCCGUCGCUCUUCCUACCUUGGUCCUUCUCCGCUCUCUCUCAAUCAAGCUCACAAGAAGAACCAGGAUCGGAUAAAGUUAGAGGAUGGUCAAGUUAAGUUGCAAUCCCGAUUAGAACAAGAAGAAGAAGCUAAAGCUGCUUUGUUAGGAAGAAUUCAACGGCUGACUAAACUGAUUUUGGUCUCCACAAAAGCAUCACAUUCAACCAGAUUUCCUAACAGGCCUGGUCCUAGUAGAAGACAUUCCUUUGGAGAAGAGGAGACAGGGCAACUCUUUCCAUGUUCCCUACAUGUUUUUAAUCAUCAACUAUGUUUAUAGCUGGCAUACUUCCAUACAAGAGGCGGGAUUUAAUCUUGAAUGAGGAAAAUAUUGAUAUGUUAAUCUGGAGGGAAAUGUUGAAACAACUGUUGAUUCUUUGAAGGAGGAAAAAAAGACAGAGAAACAUGGACUACUAAACUGGUUGAAGUUACGUUUUUAGAUAUGGAGAUUGAGAGAAGUGGAGAAAACAAAAUUCUUGGACUGAGAUUCACUUCAAGUCACAAGCGUUCAAAGAGUCUUCCUGUUAAGAAAGGAGUGGAGGAACAUGAUAAUCAACUUGAGGCAUUAGACUCAAUGAAGCUGGAUAUGGGUCACCUCACAAAAUGCACUAAAGCUAGAAAUGAAGUCCACACUACUCUCAAGCAAGAGUGAAGCAUUUUAUGGAAAGCAAGAAGCUAGUUGCAUCCAUCUGCUCGUGGCCAACAGAUUUUAGCUGCUGAAGAUGUGCUCAAGGUACUCUUAGAUCAUAUUUGAUAUAUUUCACAUUUGUUUCUCAACGACCACUGAAGUUGAGCUGUGUAGGCGAAACGUGUGUAGUGUCUAUAUUUAAAUGUUUAUUUGUCUUGUUAUUUAAUAUUCUGUAUAAAUUGUAUUUCUAUAUUUAAAAGUUUAUUUGCAUUAAUUGUUUACUAUUUUUUAAAUUAAAAAAUAAUUAAAAAUAUAGCUAUUAAA
Arachis stenosperma is the source of this 1222-nucleotide long non-coding RNA. RefSeq lists it as uncharacterized. The record is from RefSeq and is a predicted model, not a curated record. The transcript is spliced from 7 exons. NCBI's taxonomy places the organism in Eukaryota, Viridiplantae, Streptophyta, Magnoliopsida, Fabales, Fabaceae.